This 476-nucleotide ribosomal RNA is filed under the name Streptococcus mitis. RNAcentral's name for it is "bacterial SSU rRNA". It matches the Rfam family "Bacterial small subunit ribosomal RNA", at positions 28 to 489 of the family's 1533-position model. Lineage: Bacteria; Bacillati; Bacillota; Bacilli; Lactobacillales; Streptococcaceae. The record is from RNAcentral.
GACGAACGCUGGCGGCGUGCCUAAUACAUGCAAGUAGAACGCUGAAGGAGGAGCUUGCUUCUCUGGAUGAGUUGCGAACGGGUGAGUAACGCGUAGGUAACCUGCCUGGUAGCGGGGGAUAACUAUUGGAAACGAUAGCUAAUACCGCAUAACAGUAGAUGUUGCAUGACAUUUGCUUAAAGGUGCAAUUGCAUCACUACCAGAUGGACCUGCGUUGUAUUAGCUAGUUGGUGAGGUAACGGCUCACCAAGGCGACGAUACAUAGCCGACCUGAGAGGGUGAUCGGCCACACUGGGACUGAGACACGGCCCAGACUCCUACGGGAGGCAGCAGUAGGGAAUCUUCGGCAAUGGACGGAAGUCUGACCGAGCAACGCCGCGUGAGUGAAGAAGGUGUUCGGAUCGUAAUAGCUCUGUUGUAAGAGAAGAACGAGUGUGAGAGUGGUAAGUUCACACUGUGACGGUAUCUACCAGAAA